This 210-nucleotide ribosomal RNA is filed under the name uncultured Stichotrichia. Its description in RNAcentral is "partial Bacterial large subunit ribosomal RNA". It matches the Rfam family "Bacterial large subunit ribosomal RNA", at positions 1364 to 1679 of the family's 2925-position model. Lineage: Eukaryota; Ciliophora; Spirotrichea. The record is from RNAcentral.
GCUAAUCUGAGCAGGGUAAGCCGACCCCUAAGUCGAGGCCGAAAGGCGUAGACGAUGGGAACUGGGUUAAUAUUCCCAGGCCAGGAGGAAUGUGACGGAUCGUGAAGAUUGUUCACCCUUAUCGGAUUGGGUGGGCCGUUAAUCGGUUCCUGGAAAUAGCACCUCCAUUAGAUCGUACCCUAAACCAACACAGGUGGACUGGUAGAGAAU